This 369-nucleotide ribosomal RNA is filed under the name Hyalophysa sp. RNAcentral describes it as "partial small subunit ribosomal RNA". It matches the Rfam family "Eukaryotic small subunit ribosomal RNA", at positions 587 to 975 of the family's 1831-position model. Lineage: Eukaryota; Ciliophora; Oligohymenophorea; Apostomatida; Foettingeriidae. The record is from RNAcentral.
AGCUCCAAUAGCGUAUAUUAAAGUUGUUGCAGUUAAAAAGCUCGUAGUUGAAUUUCUAGGCAUGAUACGUUGACCUCAAAUCGCGUUAUUAUGUCUAUCCGACACCGAACUAUAACGGAUAUUAAGUUAUUCUUAUAGGGAACUGUCAUUUUACUUUGAAAAAAUUAGAGUGUUUCAGGCAGGCAAUUGCCCGAAUAUCUUAGCAUGGAAUAAUGGAAUAGGACUUUGGUUCAUUUUAUUGGUUAUUGAAUCAGAGUAAUGAUUAAUAGGGACAGUUGGGGGCAUUAGUAUUUAAUUGUCAGAGGUGAAAUUCGUAGAUUUAUUAAAGACUAACUUAUGCGAAAGCAUUUGCCAAGGAUGUUUUCAUUA